AGAGUUUGAUCCUGGCUCAGAACGAACGCUGGCGGCAGGCUUAACACAUGCAAGUCGAACGAGUAAGAGCCGUAGCAAUACGGAGUUCUGCUAGUGGCGCACGGGUGAGUAACGCGUGGGAAUAUGCCCUUUAGUACGGAAUAACAGUUGGAAACGACUGCUAAUACCGUAUACGCCCUUCGGGGGAAAGAUUUAUCGCUAAAGGAUUAGCCCGCGUGAGAUUAGGUAGUUGGUGGGGUAAUGGCCUACCAAGCCUACGAUCUCUGGCCGGUCUGAGAGGACGAUCGGCCACACUGGAACUGAGACACGGUCCAGACUCCUACGGGAGGCAGCAGUGGGGAAUAUUGGACAAUGGGCGAAAGCCUGAUCCAGCCAUGCCGCGUGAGUGAUGAAGGCCUUAGGGUUGUAAAGCUCUUUUGUCAGGGAAGAUAUUGACGGUACCUGAAGAAUAAGCACCGGCUAACUUCGUGCCAGCAGCCGCGGUAAUACGAAGGGUGCUAGCGUUGUUCGGAAUUACUGGGCGUAAAGCGCGCGCAGGCGGUCUAUCAAGUCAGAGGUGAAAUGCCGAAGCUCAACUUCGGAACUGCCUUUGAAACUGUUAGACUAGAAUAUGGGAGGGGAUAGCGGAAUUCCUAAUGUAGAGGUGAAAUUCGUAGAUAUUAGGAGGAACACCGGUGGCGAAGGCGGCUAUCUGGCCCAUUAUUGACGCUGAGGCGCGAAAGCGUGGGGAUCAAACAGGAUUAGAUACCCUGGUAGUCCACGCUGUAAACGAUGAGUGCUAGCUGUUGGGACCUUAGGUCUCAGUGGCGCAGCUAACGCAUUAAGCACUCCGCCUGGGGAGUACGGUCGCAAGAUUAAAACUCAAAGGAAUUGACGGGGACCCGCACAAGCGGUGGAGCAUGUGGUUUAAUUCGAGGCAACGCGAAGAACCUUACCAGGACUUGACAUGUCCAGUUUGGAUUUCAGAAAUGAUUUCCUUCAGUUUGGCUGGCUGGAACACAGGUGCUGCAUGGCUGUCGUCAGCUCGUGUCGUGAGAUGUUGGGUUAAGUCCCGCAACGAGCGCAACCCUCAUCUUUAGUUGCUACCAUUUAGUUGAGCACUCUAAAGAAACUGCCGGUGAUAAGCCGGAGGAAGGUGGGGAUGACGUCAAGUCUUCAUGGCCCUUAUGUCCUGGGCUACACACGUGCUACAAUGGCAGUGACAAUGCGCCGCUACCUCGCGAGGGGAAGCUAAUCGCAAAAAGCUGUCUCAGUUCGGAUUGUACUCUGCAACUCGAGUACAUGAAGUUGGAAUCGCUAGUAAUCGCGCAUCAGCAUGGCGCGGUGAAUACGUUCCCGGGUCUUGUACACACCGCCCGUCACACCAUGGGAGUUGGUUCUACCUUAAGCUGCUGUGCUAACCGCAAGGAGGCAGGCAACCACGGUAGGGUCAGUGACUGGGGUGAAGUCGUAACAAGGUA
RNAcentral lists this ribosomal RNA (1460 nucleotides) under metagenome. RNAcentral's name for it is "bacterial SSU rRNA". It matches the Rfam family "Bacterial small subunit ribosomal RNA". The record is from RNAcentral.